GGCUUUUUGAUUAUAAUUUAAAGUYUAACCUGCCCAAUGAGUAGUUUAAUGGCCGCAGUAUCCUGACUGUGCAAAGGUAGCAUAAUAACUAGUUUYUUAAUUAGAAGCUUGUAUGAAAGGUUGAAUGAGAAAAUAACUGUCUCUGUAAAAAUUAUUUAGAAUUUUAUUUUUAAGUAAGAAAGCUUAAAUAUUUAUAGAAGACGAGAAGACCCUAUAGAAUUUUAUAUUUUUUUAUUUAAAAAAGGUAUUAGUAUUAAUUAUUUUUAUAUAAAAAAGUAUUUGAUUGGGGCGAUUGAAAAAUUAAUUUAACUUUUUUUUUAUAAAAACAUUGAUUUAUGAGUAUAUGAUCCUUUAAUAAAGAUUAUAAGAUUAAAUUACCUUAGGGAUAACAGCGUAAUUUUUUUUAAGAGUUCUAAUCGAUAAAAAAGAUUGCGACCUCGAUGUUGGAUUAAAAUAUAUUUUUGGUGUAGAAGCUGAAAAAUUAGGUCUGUUCGACCUUUAAUAUUUUACA
RNAcentral lists this ribosomal RNA (511 nucleotides) under Pentarthrum carmichaeli. RNAcentral's name for it is "partial 16S ribosomal RNA". It matches the Rfam family "Archaeal large subunit ribosomal RNA", at positions 1955 to 2671 of the family's 2987-position model. The record is from RNAcentral. RNAcentral also lists the same sequence under 1 other name. Lineage: Eukaryota; Metazoa; Arthropoda; Insecta; Coleoptera; Curculionidae.